This 75-nucleotide transfer RNA is filed under the name Patescibacteria group bacterium. RNAcentral's name for it is "tRNA-His". It matches the Rfam family "tRNA". Rfam says of the family: Transfer RNA (tRNA) molecules are approximately 80 nucleotides in length. Their secondary structure includes four short double-helical elements and three loops (D, anti-codon, and T loops). The record is from RNAcentral.
GGACAGGAACAGCAAAUGGUUCGCGGCUUGAUUGUGGCUCAAGCGUACAGGGUUCGAUUCCCUGCCUGCCCUCCA